This 852-nucleotide ribosomal RNA is filed under the name uncultured bacterium. RNAcentral's name for it is "bacterial SSU rRNA". It matches the Rfam family "Bacterial small subunit ribosomal RNA", at positions 616 to 1464 of the family's 1533-position model. The record is from RNAcentral.
UGAGCUUGCUUUCGNUACGGGCUGACUUGAGGGAGGUAGGGGAGAAUAGAAUUCCUGGUGGAGCGGUGGAAUGCGCAGAUAUCAGGAGGAACACCGGUGGCGAAGGCGGUUCUCUGGNCCUUUCCUGACGCUGAGAAGCGAAAGCGUGGGGAGCGAACAGGCUUAGAUACCCUGGUAGUCCACGCUGUAAACGGUGGGUACUAGGUGUGGGGGACAUUCCACGUUCUCCGUGCCGUAGCUAACGCAUUAAGUACCCCGCCUGGGGAGUACGGCCGCAAGGCUAAAACUCAAAGGAAUUGACGGGGCCCCGCACAAGCGGCGGAGCAUGCGGAUUAAUUCGAUGCAACGCGAAGAACCUUACCUGGGUUUGACAUAUGCCGGAAGCGUUCAGAGAUGGGCGUGCCUUUUUGGUCGGUUUACAGGUGGUGCAUGGCUGUCGUCAGCUCGUGUCGUGAGAUGUUGGGUUAAGUCCCGCAACGAGCGCAACCCUCGUCCAAUGUUGCCAGCGGGUUAUGCCGGGGACUCAUUGGAGACCGCCGGGGUCAACUCGGAGGAAGGUGGGGAUGACGUCAAGUCAUCAUGCCCCUUAUGUCCAGGGCUUCACGCAUGCUACAAUGGCCGGUACAGUGAGCUGCGAGCCUGUGAGGGUGAGCGAAUCUCUAAAAGCCGGUCUCAGUUCGGAUUGGGGUCUGCAACUCGACCCCAUGAAGUCGGAGUCGCUAGUAAUCGCAGAUCAGCAAGGCUGCGGUGAAUACGUUCCCGGGGCUUGUACACACCGCCCGUCAAGUCAUGAAAGUCGGUAACACCCGAAGCCGGUGGCCUAACCCGUUUGGGAGGGAGCUGUCGAAGGUG